UUAAAUUGAAGAGUUUGAUCAUGGCUCAGAUUGAACGCUGGCGGCAGGCCUAACACAUGCAAGUCGAACGGUAACAGGAAGCAGCUUGCUGCUUCGCUGACGAGUGGCGGACGGGUGAGUAAUGUCUGGGAAACUGCCUGAUGGAGGGGGAUAACUACUGGAAACGGUAGCUAAUACCGCAUAACGUCGCAAGACCAAAGAGGGGGACCUUCGGGCCUCUUGCCAUCGGAUGUGCCCAGAUGGGAUUAGCUAGUAGGUGGGGUAACGGCUCACCUAGGCGACGAUCCCUAGCUGGUCUGAGAGGAUGACCAGCCACACUGGAACUGAGACACGGUCCAGACUCCUACGGGAGGCAGCAGUGGGGAAUAUUGCACAAUGGGCGCAAGCCUGAUGCAGCCAUGCCGCGUGUAUGAAGAAGGCCUUCGGGUUGUAAAGUACUUUCAGCGGGGAGGAAGGGAGUAAAGUUAAUACCUUUGCUCAUUGACGUUACCCGCAGAAGAAGCACCGGCUAACUCCGUGCCAGCAGCCGCGGUAAUACGGAGGGUGCAAGCGUUAAUCGGAAUUACUGGGCGUAAAGCGCACGCAGGCGGUUUGUUAAGUCAGAUGUGAAAUCCCCGGGCUCAACCUGGGAACUGCAUCUGAUACUGGCAAGCUUGAGUCUCGUAGAGGGGGGUAGAAUUCCAGGUGUAGCGGUGAAAUGCGUAGAGAUCUGGAGGAAUACCGGUGGCGAAGGCGGCCCCCUGGACGAAGACUGACGCUCAGGUGCGAAAGCGUGGGGAGCAAACAGGAUUAGAUACCCUGGUAGUCCACGCCGUAAACGAUGUCGACUUGGAGGUUGUGCCCUUGAGGCGUGGCUUCCGGAGCUAACGCGUUAAGUCGACCGCCUGGGGAGUACGGCCGCAAGGUUAAAACUCAAAUGAAUUGACGGGGGCCCGCACAAGCGGUGGAGCAUGUGGUUUAAUUCGAUGCAACGCGAAGAACCUUACCUGGUCUUGACAUCCACGGAAGUUUUCAGAGAUGAGAAUGUGCCUUCGGGAACCGUGAGACAGGUGCUGCAUGGCUGUCGUCAGCUCGUGUUGUGAAAUGUUGGGUUAAGUCCCGCAACGAGCGCAACCCUUAUCCUUUGUUGCCAGCGGUCCGGCCGGGAACUCAAAGGAGACUGCCAGUGAUAAACUGGAGGAAGGUGGGGAUGACGUCAAGUCAUCAUGGCCCUUACGACCAGGGCUACACACGUGCUACAAUGGCGCAUACAAAGAGAAGCGACCUCGCGAGAGCAAGCGGACCUCAUAAAGUUCGUCGUAGUCCGGAUUGGAGUCUGCAACUCGACUCCAUGAAGUCGGAAUCGCUAGUAAUCGUGGAUCAGAAUGCCACGGUGAAUACGUUCCCGGGCCUUGUACACACCGCCCGUCACACCAUGGGAGUGGGUUGCAAAAGAAGUAGGUAGCUUAACCUUCGGGAGGGCGCUUACCACUUUGUGAUUCAUGACUGGGGUGAAGUCGUAACAAGGUAACCGUAGGGGAACCUGCGGUUGGAUCACCUCCUUACCUUAAAGAAGC
Molecule: ribosomal RNA, 1556 nt
Filed under: Escherichia coli
Lineage: Bacteria; Pseudomonadati; Pseudomonadota; Gammaproteobacteria; Enterobacterales; Enterobacteriaceae
Description: bacterial SSU rRNA
Rfam family: Bacterial small subunit ribosomal RNA
Source: RNAcentral